This is an unclassified non-coding RNA of Macaca mulatta (Rhesus monkey), 149 nucleotides long. It matches the Rfam family "Metazoan signal recognition particle RNA". Rfam says of the family: The signal recognition particle (SRP) is a universally conserved ribonucleoprotein. It is involved in the co-translational targeting of proteins to membranes. The record is from Ensembl. Lineage: Eukaryota; Metazoa; Chordata; Mammalia; Primates; Cercopithecidae.
GCCAGGCAUGGUGGUGCAUGCCUGGAGUCCCAGUUACUUGGGAGGCUGAGGUGGGAGGAUUGCUUGAGCCUGGGAGGUCAAGGCAGCAGUGAGCCGUGAUGGGAGCCACUGCACUCCAGCCUGGGCAACAGAGCAAGACCCUGUCUCAA